RNAcentral lists this ribosomal RNA (455 nucleotides) under uncultured bacterium. RNAcentral's name for it is "bacterial SSU rRNA". It matches the Rfam family "Bacterial small subunit ribosomal RNA", at positions 340 to 786 of the family's 1533-position model. The record is from RNAcentral.
UACGGAAGGCAGCAGGGGGAAUAUUGCACAAUGGGCGCAAGCCUGAUGCAGCCAUGCCGCGUGUAUGAAGAAGGCCUUCGGGUUGUAAAGUACUUUCAGUCGUGAGGAAGGUGUUAAGGUUAAUAACCUUAGCAAUUGACGUUAGCGACAGAAGAAGCACCGGCUAACUCCGUGCCAGCAGCCGCGGUAAUACGGAGGGUGCGAGCGUUAAUCGGAAUUACUGGGCGUAAAGGGCACGCAGGCGGUUAAUUAAGUUGGAUGUGAAAUCCCCGGGCUUAACCUGGGAAUGGCAUUCAAGACUGGUUAGCUAGAGUCUUGUAGAGGGGGUAGAAUUCCAUGUGUAGCGGUGAAAUGCGUAGAGAUGUGGAGGAAUACCGGUGGCGAAGGCGGCCCCUGGGACAAAGGACUGACGCUCAUGUGCGAAAGCGUGGGGAGCGAAACAGGGAUUAGAUACC